Molecule: ribosomal RNA, 468 nt
Filed under: uncultured bacterium
Lineage: Bacteria
Description: partial 16S ribosomal RNA
Rfam family: Bacterial small subunit ribosomal RNA
Source: RNAcentral
GACGAACGCUGGCGGCGUGCUUAACACAUGCAAGUCGAACGGAAAGGCCCUGCUUUUGUGGGGUGCUCGAGUGGCGAACGGGUGAGUAACACGUGAGUAACCUGCCCUUGACUUUGGGAUAACUUCAGGAAACUGGGGCUAAUACCGGAUAGGAGCUCCUGCUGCAUGGUGGGGGUUGGAAAGUUUCGGCGGUUGGGGAUGGACUCGCGGCUUAUCAGCUUGUUGGUGGGGUAGUGGCUUACCAAGGCUUUGACGGGUAGCCGGCCUGAGAGGGUGACCGGCCACAUUGGGACUGAGAUACGGCCCAGACUCCUACGGGAGGCAGCAGUGGGGAAUAUUGCACAAUGGGCGGGAGUCUGAUGCAGCAACGCCGCGUGCGGGAUGACGGCCUUCGGGUUGUAAACCGCUUUCGCCUGUGACGAAGCGUGAGUGACGGUAAUGGGUAAAGAAGCACCGGCUAACUACGUG